Molecule: unclassified non-coding RNA, 235 nt
Filed under: Hevea brasiliensis (rubber tree)
Lineage: Eukaryota; Viridiplantae; Streptophyta; Magnoliopsida; Malpighiales; Euphorbiaceae
Source: RNAcentral
UGGCCUUGCCAAGUCUGCAAAUGAGGUGAUGCUGGUGAUUGAAGCAUACAAGGCACUUCGUGACAGAGCACCUUACCCUCCAAAUCAUGUUGUUGGUCACCUUGAAGGCAGUUUCGCUUUCAUUGUUUUUGACAAGUCUACUUCCACCUUGUUUGUGGCUACCGAUCAAGUUGGUAAGGUACCCCUCUACUGGGGAAUCACUGCUGAUGGGUAUGUGGCCUUUGCCAAUGAUGCU